CUGCUGGAGUGCGGGGGGGACCUCCAGCCCCCCGGGGGGUCCCUGACUCUGCUCUGCCGCGCCUCGGGGUUCAGUUUCAGAAGUUAUGGAAUGAUGUGGGUCCGCCAGAGCAUUGGGAAGGGGCUGGAAUGGGUCGCAGGGAUUGACAAUGAUGCAGACACCCGGUACGCGCCGUCGGUCAAGGGCCGGUUCUCGAUCUCCAGGGACAACGGGCAGAGUUCGGUGACGCUGACCAUGAACAACCUCAAGGACGAGGAUUCCGCCGUUUAUUUCUGCGCCAAAGCUGAUAGUACUGAUGGAAAUAUUGUUGGUGCUAUUGAAGUUGACGGUGCCAUUCUCAUCCCCGUCACUGUUCCCCCAACCCUCCCCAAAUGUCCCCAGACCCUUCCCCCAGACCUCACCCCUUGA
This is a non-coding RNA of Catharus ustulatus (Swainson's thrush), 408 nucleotides long. Lineage: Eukaryota; Metazoa; Chordata; Aves; Passeriformes; Turdidae. The record is from the annotation of a RefSeq genome assembly.